GGUUAUGGCUCAGCGGUAGAGCACUCUCCUUGCAUGUGCAAGGCCCUGGGUUUGAUUCUCAGCACCA
Molecule: transfer RNA, 67 nt
Filed under: Marmota monax (woodchuck)
Lineage: Eukaryota; Metazoa; Chordata; Mammalia; Rodentia; Sciuridae
Description: tRNA.Ala
Source: RNAcentral